RNAcentral lists this ribosomal RNA (495 nucleotides) under uncultured bacterium. RNAcentral's name for it is "partial 16S ribosomal RNA". It matches the Rfam family "Bacterial small subunit ribosomal RNA", at positions 28 to 507 of the family's 1533-position model. The record is from RNAcentral.
GAUGAACGCUGGCGGCGUGCCUAAUACAUGCAAGUAGAACGCUGAAGGAGGAGCUUGCUCUUCUGGAUGAGUUGCGAACGGGUGAGUAACGCGUAGGUAACCUGCCUGGUAGCGGGGGAUAACUAUUGGAAACGAUAGCUAAUACCGCAUGACAACAGUUAUUGCAUGAUAACUGUUUAAAAGGGGCAACUGCUCCACUACCAGAUGGACCUGCGUUGUAUUAGCUAGUUGGUGAGGUAACGGCUCACCAAGGCGACGAUACAUAGCCGACCUGAGAGGGGGAUCGGCCACACUGGGACUGAGACACGGCCCAGACUCCUACGGGAGGCAGCAGUAGGGAAUCUUCGGCAAUGGACGGAAGUCUGACCGAGCAACGCCGCGGGAGUGAAGAAGGGUUUCGGAUCGUAAAGCUCUGUUGUAAGAGAAGAACGAGUGUGAGAGUGGAAAGUUCACACUGUGACGGUAUCUGACCAGAAAGGGACGGCUAACUACGUG